AGAGUUUGAUCCUGGCUCAGGACGAACGCUGGCGGCGUGCUUAACACAUGCAAGUCGAGCGGAAAGGCCCCUUCGGGGGUACUCGAGCGGCGAACGGGUGAGUAACACGUGAGCAACCUGCCCCUGACUCUGGGAUAAGCCUGGGAAACCGGGUCUAAUACCGGAUACGACCAUUGCGGGCAUCCGUUGGUGGUGGAAAGUUUUUUCGGUCGGGGAUGGGCUCGCGGCCUAUCAGCUUGUUGGUGGGGUGACGGCCUACCAAGGCGACGACGGGUAACCGGCCUGAGAGGGCGACCGGUCACACUGGGACUGAGACACGGCCCAGACUCCUACGGGGGGCAGCAGUGGGGAAUAUUGCGCAAUGGGCGGAAGCCUGACGCAGCGACGCCGCGUGGGGGAUGACGGCCUUCGGGUUGUAAACCUCUUUCAGCGGGGACGAAGCCCUUUGGGGUGACGGUACCUGCAGAAGAAGCGCCGGCUAACUACGUGCCAGCAGCCGCGGUAAUACGUAGGGCGCGAGCGUUGUCCGGAAUUAUUGGGCGUAAAGAGCUCGUAGGCGGUUUGUCGCGUCGGAUGUGAAAGCCCAUGGCUUAACUGUGGGUCUGCAUUCGAUACGGGCAGACUAGAGGUAGGUAGGGGAGCAUGGAAUUCCCGGUGUAGCGGUGAAAUGCGCAGAUAUCGGGAGGAACACCGGUGGCGAAGGCGGUGCUCUGGGCCUUACCUGACGCUGAGGAGCGAAAGCGUGGGGAGCGAACAGGAUUAGAUACCCUGGUAGUCCACGCCGU
Molecule: ribosomal RNA, 785 nt
Filed under: uncultured bacterium
Lineage: Bacteria
Description: bacterial SSU rRNA
Rfam family: Bacterial small subunit ribosomal RNA
Source: RNAcentral